Molecule: ribosomal RNA, 425 nt
Filed under: uncultured bacterium
Lineage: Bacteria
Description: partial 16S ribosomal RNA
Rfam family: Bacterial small subunit ribosomal RNA
Source: RNAcentral
GUGGGGAAUCUUGCGCAAUGGGCGAAAGCCUGACGCAGCCAUGCCGCGUGAAUGAUGAAGGUCUUAGGAUUGUAAAAUUCUUUCACCGGGGACGAUAAUGACGGUACCCGGAGAAGAAGCUCCGGCUAACUUCGUGCCAGCAGCCGCGGUAAUACGAAGGGGGCUAGCGUUGCUCGGAAUUACUGGGCGUAAAGGGCGCGUAGGCGGACAGUUUAGUCAGAGGUGAAAGCCCAGGGCUCAACCUUGGAAUUGCCUUUGAUACUGGCUGUCUUGAGUACGGGAGAGGUGAGUGGAACUCCGAGUGUAGAGGUGAAAUUCGUAGAUAUUCGGAAGAACACCAGUGGCGAAGGCGACUCACUGGCCCGUUACUGACGCUGAGGCGCGAAAGCGUGGGGAGCAAACAGGAUUAGAUACCCUUGUAGUCC